CGGACGGGUGAGUAAUGUCUGGGAAACUGCCUGAUGGAGGGGGGUAACUACUGGAAACGGUAGCUAAUACCGCAUAACGUCGCAAGACCAAAGAGGGGGACCUUAGGGCCUCUUGCCAUCGGAUGUGCCCAGAUGGGAUUAGCUAGUAGGUGGGGUAACGGCUCACCUAGGCGACGAUCCCUAGCUGGUCUGAGAGGAUGCCAGCCACACUGGAACUGAGACACGGUCCAG
This 231-nucleotide ribosomal RNA is filed under the name uncultured bacterium. Its description in RNAcentral is "partial 16S ribosomal RNA". It matches the Rfam family "Bacterial small subunit ribosomal RNA", at positions 99 to 334 of the family's 1533-position model. The record is from RNAcentral.